GCCGGGCGUGGUGGCUCACGCCUGUAAUCCUAGCACUUUGGGAGGCUGAGGCAGGCGGAUCACCUGAGGUCGGGAGUCCGAGACCAGCCUGACCAACAUGGAGAAACCCUGUCUCUA
Non-coding RNA from Chlorocebus sabaeus (green monkey), 117 nucleotides. It matches the Rfam family "Metazoan signal recognition particle RNA". Rfam says of the family: The signal recognition particle (SRP) is a universally conserved ribonucleoprotein. The record is from Rfam. Lineage: Eukaryota; Metazoa; Chordata; Mammalia; Primates; Cercopithecidae.